AGCGAACGCUGGCGGCAGGCUUAACACAUGCAAGUCGAGCGGGCAUAGCAAUAUGUCAGCGGCAGACGGGUGAGUAACGCGGGGGAACGUACCUUUUGGUUCGGAACAACUGAGGGAAACUUCAGCUAAUACCGGAUAAGCCCUUACGGGGAAAGAUUUAUCGCCGAAAGAUCGGCCCGCGUCUGAUUAGCUAGUUGGUGAGGUAAUGGCUCACCAAGGCGGCGAUCCGUAGCUGGUCUGAGAGGAUGAUCCACCACAUUGGGACUGAGACACGGCCCAAACUCCUACCGGAGGCAGCAAGGGGGAAUAAUGGACGAUGGGCGCAAGCCUGAUCCCUCCAUGCCGCGUGGGUGAUGAAGGCCCUAGGGUUGUAAAGCUCUUUUGUGCGGGAAGAUAAUGACGGUACCGAAAGAAUAAGCCCCGGCUAACUUCGUG
This 435-nucleotide ribosomal RNA is filed under the name uncultured bacterium. RNAcentral's name for it is "partial 16S ribosomal RNA". It matches the Rfam family "Bacterial small subunit ribosomal RNA", at positions 29 to 507 of the family's 1533-position model. The record is from RNAcentral.